RNAcentral lists this ribosomal RNA (504 nucleotides) under uncultured Glomus. Its description in RNAcentral is "SSU rRNA". It matches the Rfam family "Eukaryotic small subunit ribosomal RNA", at positions 569 to 1077 of the family's 1831-position model. The record is from RNAcentral. Lineage: Eukaryota; Fungi; Glomeromycota; Glomeromycetes; Glomerales; Glomeraceae.
AGCAGCCGCGGUAAUUCCAGCUCCAAUAGCGUAUAUUAAAGUUGUUGCAGUUAAAAAGCUCGUAGUUGAAUUUCGGGGUCAGUAGGUUGGUCGUGCCACUGGUAUGCACUGGUCUCACUGAUUCCUCCUUCCUGAUGAACCGUAAUGCCAUUAAUUUGGUGUUGCGGGGAGACUGGACUGUUACUUUGAAAAAAUUAGAGUGUUUAAAGCAGGCUAACGCUUGAAUACAUUAGCAUGGAAUAAUGAAAUAGGACGUUCGAUCUUAUUUUGUUGGUUUCUAAGAUUGACGUAAUGAUUAAUAGGGAUAGUUGGGGGCAUCAGUAUUCAAUUGUCAGAGGUGAAAUUCUUGGAUUUAUUGAAGACUAACUACUGCGAAAGCAUUUGCCAAGGAUGUUUUCAUUAAUCAAGAACGAAAGUUAGGGGAUCGAAGACGAUCAGAUACCGUCGUAGUCUUAACCAUAAACUAUGCCGACUAGGGAUCGGAUGAUGUUAAUUUUUUAAUGA